CAUUCCUGGCACAUAGUAUGCUAUGCUUCCAAUAAACAUUUGAAUUAGUAUUGAAUUAGUGGAUGGUUCAUCCUCUCUCUCUCUAUAUUGUACAUAAUUCUCCUGCUCUCAAAUCUAAUAAUGGAAACAAUUUGCUUAAGCAUAAUGUUAACACGUCACUUUGUGAACAAGUCCGUAACCAAAAAUUCAUAAUACCUUACAUUUACAUAACACUUUGCAGACUCUAAAGUACCUUCGUGUACAUUGUCUUAUUUAAUCCUCACAACUUUAUAUUCCAAUUUUUCACAGGAAGCUGAAUCUGAGAGAAAUGGAGUUUUUCAUUCACAGUCACAGGAAACUGAACCAGAGAAACUGAAUGAUAUGCUCAAAGUCUACACGAGGGAGCCAAGAUUCAAACUCAUGUUGUUCUGAGCAGAAAUCUGACGCAAUUUUCACUCCCGUAUCCCAACUCUCUGGUUCCGUAUCAGAUCAGUUUCCUCUAUAUUAUUUGACUUUGUAUCAGUAACAUCUGUCUAGUGCCCUUGGCCAACAAGGCUGAGGACUCAGAAUCCAGUUGAUCAGGUUUGUUUCAGAUCCUAGUAACUGUGUGAAUCUAGCAAAAUUAGGCUGGCUGAAUGGCUCUACUUGGUGGAAAAACCAGGAUAAAGUUAUCUAAAAGCAACUGUUUUCAAUGCAACUUAUCUGCAAAAAUUUUGAUAUAGUUUCAGGCUAUAAAUGCCUGGAACCAAAGACUCUCUAAAACUCAGUUUAUAUAGAAUUGUAUGUGGAUAGGGGCUUAACUGAGUUCUGGUCAAACCAUUUAUAUAAGUCAUCCCUUAGCCUUAAAAUUACCGUGGUUCUCUCAAAGGAAUAGUUUUUCUUAUUGAUUCCCAGUUCUAAGAAUGCAAGUCCUAUCUUUUAAGGACUGUACAAAUUCUUAAAUAAAUAGCUAUUGGUAUCUACUACAAGAAAAGCACAAAGCUAUUUCUUCCCUUCCUGUUUAUUCAUAAGCAAAUAUUUCUCUUUCCUGAGUUUCUUUGUAAGCUUUCAUUGCUCUUAGUCAUCCAUCCUCAUUCUUCUCUCCCAUCUUCCAUAGCUCAUUCCUGCAUGCAGAAAAGUCAUUAUUAUUAAGGGUUCUCUCUGUGUUUCCUUCUCUUUUGGCUUCCUUACUUUAACUGGACUGCUUAGAGUUCAAAAUCCAUUUCUUUUUGCUAUCACAGAUUGUAAAUCUUCAAAAGCUGGUGACUAAGGGAAGGGAGAGGAACUCUAUUUGUGACUUGGAUCAGAGAAAGGGAGCAGAUGUUAUCAGAUGCCCCAUUUUUAUGUCAUACAAAUAACAUGACUCAAACUGGUUCAGGUGCAGUCUUCAUAGAUCAGAUGAACUGCUAACUUGGCAAAAUGGCAAAAGAGUCACAAAUAAAAGUUGACUUUGGUUUGAUACCUACAAUUAUACCUAAGCCAUAGCUUGCAUUUUGAUUAUCUCUUAGAAGAAAGAAAGAAAAAAGGAAAAAAAAAAA
Molecule: long non-coding RNA, 1496 nt
Filed under: Macaca fascicularis (crab-eating macaque)
Lineage: Eukaryota; Metazoa; Chordata; Mammalia; Primates; Cercopithecidae
Description: lncRNA (ENSMFAG00000053709.1)
Source: RNAcentral